CGGAGCGCUAGCUUCGGUGGAGGCGCUGGUGGGAUACCGCCCUGACUGUAUUGAAAUUCUAACCUACGGGUCUUAUCGACCCGGGAGACAGUGUCAGGUGGGCAGUUUGACUGGGGCGGUCGCCUCCUAAAAUGUAACGGAGGCGCCCAAAGGUUCCCUCAGAAUGGUUGGAAAUCAUUCGUAGAGUGCAAAGGCAUAAGGGAGCUUGACUGCGAGACCUACAAGUCGAGCAGGGACGAAAGUCGGGCUUAGUGAUCCGGUGGUUCCGCAUGGAAGGGCCAUCGCUCAACGGAUAAAAGCUACCCCGGGGAUAACAGGCUUAUCUCCCCCAAGAGUCCACAUCGACGGGGAGGUUUGGCACCUCGAUGUCGGCUCAUCGCAUCCUGGGGCUGUA
RNAcentral lists this ribosomal RNA (394 nucleotides) under Bacillus cereus. Its description in RNAcentral is "partial 23S ribosomal RNA". It matches the Rfam family "Bacterial large subunit ribosomal RNA", at positions 2164 to 2557 of the family's 2925-position model. Lineage: Bacteria; Bacillati; Bacillota; Bacilli; Caryophanales; Bacillaceae. The record is from RNAcentral.